UUCAUUGUUAGAAUUAAUAUGUUAUAUUUCAAAAGUUUUAUAUUCAUUUUAAACCUCUAUAAAAGCCCCACAUUUUAUUACUUAUCCAUUAAAUUUUUCCUCCAACAAUCAAGACAUGAUAUGUUCUUGGUGUUUGAGAGAAAGAAAGAGAGAGAGGGAAAAAAAAUCAUGCUUCCUCUACUUUCCACUUAAGAAGAAAAAAAAAAUUCUAACAGUUCUCUUUAUUCUCUAUGAC
Molecule: long non-coding RNA, 235 nt
Filed under: Citrus x clementina
Lineage: Eukaryota; Viridiplantae; Streptophyta; Magnoliopsida; Sapindales; Rutaceae
Description: Citrus clementina (C. clementina) long non-coding RNA (CCLE_LNC005659)
Source: RNAcentral